GCCAAAGUGGCGGAAUUGGUAGACGCACUAGAUUCAAAAUCUAGCGAUCUUUGCGGUCGUGAGGGUUCGAUUCCCUCCUUUGGUA
RNAcentral lists this transfer RNA (85 nucleotides) under Calditrichota bacterium. RNAcentral describes it as "Calditrichaeota bacterium tRNA-Leu". It matches the Rfam family "tRNA". Rfam says of the family: Transfer RNA (tRNA) molecules are approximately 80 nucleotides in length. The record is from RNAcentral. Lineage: Bacteria; Pseudomonadati; Calditrichota.